GACGUAGGGGGCGAGCGUUAUUCGGAAUUAUUGGGCGUAAAGCGCUCGUAGGCGGGAUCGAUAGUCCGUGAAGAAAGACCUGGGCUCAACUCAGGGAACGGCACGGAUACUUCGAUUCUUGAGGCAAUCAGAGGGUGAUGGAAUUCCCGGUGUAGAGGUGAAAUGCGCAGAUAUCAGGAGGAACACCGGUGGCGAAGGCGGGUCUCUGGGCCGAUAUUGACGCUGAGGAGCGAAAGCGUGGGGAGCGAACAGG
RNAcentral lists this ribosomal RNA (253 nucleotides) under uncultured bacterium. RNAcentral describes it as "partial 16S ribosomal RNA". It matches the Rfam family "Bacterial small subunit ribosomal RNA", at positions 524 to 776 of the family's 1533-position model. The record is from RNAcentral.